RNAcentral lists this ribosomal RNA (253 nucleotides) under uncultured bacterium. RNAcentral describes it as "partial 16S ribosomal RNA". It matches the Rfam family "Bacterial small subunit ribosomal RNA", at positions 524 to 776 of the family's 1533-position model. The record is from RNAcentral.
UACAGAGGGGGCAAGCGUUAUUCGGAAUUAUUGGGCGUAAAGCGCGCGUAGGCGGUUACUCAAGUCGGAUGUGAAAGCCCUCGGCUUAACUGAGGAAGUGCACCCGAAACUGAGUAGCUAGAGUACUAAAGAGGGUCGCGGAAUUCCCGGUGUAGAGGUGAAAUUCGUAGAUAUUGGGAAGAACACCGGUGGCGAAGGCGGCGAGCUGGUCCGUUACUGACACUGAGGCGCGACAGCGUGGGGAGCAAACAGG